AUUGAACGCUGGCGGCAUGCCUUACACAUGCAAGUCGAACGGUAACAGGUCUUCGGAUGCUGACGAGUGGCGAACGGGUGAGUAAUACAUCGGAACGUGCCUAGUAGUGGGGGAUAACUACUCGAAAGAGUGGCUAAUACCGCAUGAGAUCUACGGAUGAAAGCAGGGGAUCGCAAGACCUUGUGCUACUAGAGCGGCCGAUGGCAGAUUAGGUAGUUGGUGGGAUAAAAGCUUACCAAGCCGAUGAUCUGUAGCUGGUCUGAGAGGACGAUCAGCCACACUGGGAGUGAGACACGGCCCAGACUCCUACGUGAGGCAGCAGUGGGGAAUUUUGGACAAUGGGCGAAAGCCUGAUCCAGCAAUGCCGCGUGCAGGAUGAAGGCCUUCGGGUUGUAAACUGCUUUUGUACGGAACGAAAAGCCCCGGGUUAAUACCCUGGGGUCAUGACGGUACCGUAAGAAUAAGCACCGGCUAACUACGUGCCAGCCGCCGCGGUAA
Molecule: ribosomal RNA, 498 nt
Filed under: uncultured bacterium
Lineage: Bacteria
Description: partial 16S ribosomal RNA
Rfam family: Bacterial small subunit ribosomal RNA
Source: RNAcentral